AACGAACGCUGGCGGCAUGCCUAACACAUGCAAGUCGAACGAGACCUUCGGGUCUAGUUGCGCACGGGUGCGUAACGCGUGGGAACCUGCCCUUAUGUUCGGCCUACCUCCCCGAACGGGGUGCUAAUACCGGAUAAUGUCUUCUGACCGAAAAUUUAUCGCCUUUGGAUGUGCCCGCGUUGGAUUAGCUUGUUAGUACGAUAAAAGCCUACCACGGCGGCGAUCCAUAGCUGGUCUGAGAGGCGGAUCAGCCACACUGGGCCUGCGAGACGGCGCAGACUCCUACGGGAGGCAGCAGUGGGGAAUAUUGGACAGUCGGCGAGAGCCUGAUCCAGCUGUGCCGCGUGAGUGAUGCAGGUCUUAGGGUUGUAAAGCGCGGUUACCCGGGAUCAUAUUGACAGUACCGGAAGAAUAAGCUCCGGCUAACUCCGUG
RNAcentral lists this ribosomal RNA (433 nucleotides) under uncultured bacterium. RNAcentral's name for it is "partial 16S ribosomal RNA". It matches the Rfam family "Bacterial small subunit ribosomal RNA", at positions 29 to 507 of the family's 1533-position model. The record is from RNAcentral.